CCACUAAUCUGUCAGAGAUAUUGUAGAAGAAAAUUUACCAAGGUGUUAGCAUAAAAAUUGAUUUUGUUUCUCAUUUUAUUCCUUAGAAUCAAAUGAGAGAGACAGGCUUAGAGGAAAAUAUGGGGAAAAUGGAAUUAGAGAAGUUAAAUGAUAUAUCCUAUAAUGGAAAAGGGUGUCCAUAAACUUCAGGCUCUCAUCAUCUGUAACAUUGAAUUUGAUCACUUACCUGAACAAAGUGGGGCUGAACAUGAUGUUUUGGGAAUGACUGAACGACUUAAGGACCUAGGAUAUAAUGUGGAUGUCAAAGAAAACCUUACAGCACAGAUAACAUUUCUUGGAGAGUUAAUGAAGUGGGUUCUCUCUUCAUCAAGCAGUUCAUAGAGUGUUUCCAAAAAUUUGCCUACUGCUUGCACUUGGAGGAUAUUUUCCAUAAGAAGCUCAACUAUAGGUCUCAGCUAUUCUCCCAAACUCAGUGUCAGAAUCCACUGCUUCAACCACAUCCCUGAGAUGAGAUGGUGAAGGUCAGAGUCAAAGCAUUUGGCCAGAUUUUGUACCCAGUAAUUAGAAUUUCAUUCACUUCAGGCAGAGCAGUUGUUAUAAAUUCAUUAUAACCUUCAUUAACAUCAACUAAAUGGCUUAUUGGGUUCCAGUAUGAUUCCAGAAUGUUCAAAGAUAUUUUUAAGGCUGAGAAUUGAAAGCUGGUGAUCAGUGGAAAAGCCAUUGCUAUCUCAGAAGACUGUGAUCCCAUCAAUAUUAAAUUGGGAAAUCAUGUGACUUAGUUUGUAGUAGAGUCAACUGUAUGUCUUUACCACUUUGGAAAAGACUGGGGCUCCUUUGAAAGAGGGAGCUAAGUGUAUCAUCAUUGCCAUACAUACUAUUGAUGCCCCUAUGUUCAAGAUGGGAGUGAAACAUGAGAAAAAUAAUUAUUCUCUUAAGAUUGUUAGUAAUGCUUCUUGCUCUACCAAUUGCAUGGCUCCCCUAGCCAAGACCAUGACAAUGUUGUCAUUACUGUUACCCAGAGGACAGUAAAUGGACCUCUUGUGAAUUGUGGUAUUAUGGAUGUGGUGGUACUGCCCAAAAUAUCGUCCUUGCUUCCACUGGUGCUGUGGUAGUUAUGGACAAGUUCAUCCUUAAGCUGAAUGGAAAGCUCACAGGCAUGGCCUUCCAUGUUUUUGUUGUGUAUCUGGUCUGCCUCCCGGAAAAUCCUGUCAAAUAUGAUAUCAAUAAAAUGGUAAAAACAAGCAUCAGAGGGGCACUUGAAGAGAAUCUUGGCUUACACAGAGCACUAGGUUGUAUUAUGUGACUUUAAAAAGAACAACCCUUUUGUAUCUUCAGUGCUAGUGUUUGUAUUAUCAUUAAAUACUACUUUUGUCAAGCUCAUUUCCUUCUAUGACAAUGAAUAUGGUUAUAACAACCGUGUAGUAGACCUCAUAGCCUAUAGGACCUCCAAAGAGUAGUAGAAAGCUAUGGAUUUUUACCUCCAAUAAAAGAGUAUUUCUGCCAUUGGUGAAACAUAUAUUUCUAACCUAUUUCCCUAAUACUGGAGAU
Phascolarctos cinereus (koala) is the source of this 1548-nucleotide long non-coding RNA. RefSeq lists it as uncharacterized. Lineage: Eukaryota; Metazoa; Chordata; Mammalia; Diprotodontia; Phascolarctidae. The record is from RefSeq and is a predicted model, not a curated record.